UAUGUGAUCGUCUCUCGCAUAUCAAUAAGCGGAGGAAAAGAAACUAACAAGGAUUCCCCUAGUAACGGCGAGUGAAGCGGGAAGAGCUCAAAUUUGAAAUCUUAAAGGGUUUCCCUUUACGAAUUGUAGUUUAAAGAAGUGUUUUCUGUUGAGGUUUUGGUAAAAGUUCUUUGGAAUAGGACAUCAUAGAGGGUGAGAAUCCCGUAUUUGACCUUUACUUUCAACUUUGUGAUACACUUUCAAAGAGUCGGAUUGUUUGGGAAUGCAGUCCAAAAUGGGUGGUAAAUUUCAUCUAAAGCUAAAUAUUGGCGAGAGACCGAUAGCGAACAAGUACCGUGAGGGAAAGAUGAAAAGAACUUUGAAAAGGGAGUUAAACAGUACGUGAAAUUGUCAAAAGGGAAGCGUUUGACACCAGUGUUGUUUUUCUGAAAAUCAAUUAAAGAACUGUUUAUGCUAAGUUGUUUAGACUUUAUCAGCUAACUGUUUAGUUUUGAGCUUUUCUUUAAUGCACUUUUCAGUUAACAAGUCAACAUCAAUUUCUUUUGCUGUAAAAAAGCUUGAGGAAGGUGGCUUGAGAUUCGUCUUAAGUGUUUAUAGCCUCUUGCCUAUGCAGUCGGAGAGAUUGAGGUCUGCAGCGUAGAUCCUUCGGGGCUAAAUGCAUUUGUGCUAAGUUAUAGCACUUUAUAGACAACUUGUUGACUAUGAUUUGUCUUGUAGCUUACUCGCUUAUGUUAUUUUACCUACGCUUAGGAUGUUGAUAUGCAUGACUGAUAU
This 774-nucleotide ribosomal RNA is filed under the name uncultured Neocallimastigales. Its description in RNAcentral is "partial large subunit ribosomal RNA". It matches the Rfam family "Eukaryotic large subunit ribosomal RNA", at positions 24 to 636 of the family's 3401-position model. The record is from RNAcentral. Lineage: Eukaryota; Fungi; Neocallimastigomycota; Neocallimastigomycetes; Neocallimastigales.